AGACCGGGAGUCUCGUGUGGACGAUCUGCAGAGGUCUGACGUGCUGUGUGGCUGCAUCGCGAUGAUCAGACUCCCGACGGUGAUCAGAUUGCGGCGAUCUACUACCCGCACAAAGGUAUUGUGUUCUAAACACAUUACAGUAAAGUGUUUACUGUUCAAAUUCGAAUUUCAAAUUUAAAUGCAUGCAUGUUGUAUAUCAUAUUUAGAUCCUAGUGUA
RNAcentral lists this long non-coding RNA (217 nucleotides) under Elaeis guineensis (African oil palm). RNAcentral's name for it is "long non-coding RNA (EGUI_LNC074069)". The record is from RNAcentral. Lineage: Eukaryota; Viridiplantae; Streptophyta; Magnoliopsida; Arecales; Arecaceae.